RNAcentral lists this long non-coding RNA (3006 nucleotides) under Homo sapiens (human). Its description in RNAcentral is "HSALNT0330762". The record is from RNAcentral. Lineage: Eukaryota; Metazoa; Chordata; Mammalia; Primates; Hominidae.
UAGCUCAGGGAUUGUAAACACACCAAUCAGCACCCUGUCAAAACGGACCAAUCAGCUCUCUGUAAAACAGACCAAUUGGCUCUCUGUAAAAUGGACCAAUCAGCAGGAUGUGGGUGGGGCCAGAUAAGAGAAUAAAAGCAGGCUGCCCGAGCCAGCAGUGGGAACCCGCUUGGGUCCCCUUCCCCAACGUGGAAGGUUUGUUUUUUCGCUCUUUGCAAUAAAUCUUGCUGCUGCUCACUCUUUGGGUCCACACUGCCUUUAUGAGCUGUAACACUCACCACGAAAGUCUGCAGCUUCACUCCUGAAGCCAGGGAGACCACGAACCCACCAGGAAGAACGAACAACUCCAGACGCGCCACCUUAAGAGCUGUACCACUCACCGCGAAGGUCUGCAGCUUCACUCCUGAGCCAGCGAGACCACGAACCCACCAUGAAGAAAGAACAACUCCAGACGCGCUGCCUUAAGAGCUGUACCACUCACCGCGAAGGUCUGCAGCUUCACUCCUGAGCCAGGGAGACCACGCACCCACCAGAAGGAAGAAACUCUGAACACAUCCCAACAUCAGAAGGAACAAACUCCGGACACGCUGCUUUUAAGAACUGUAACACUCACCGCGAGGGUCCGUGGCUUCAUUCUUGAAGACAGUGAGACCAAGAACCCACCAAUUCUGGACACAUUAGUAACUUAACUUGUGCUAUUUACCCACAGAAGGGAAAUCACACAAGAUAGCAGUUAAGAAACUGCUCUUAACUGUGACACCGCUCUGUGACAGCGGUGGGGUAGAAUGACCUUGUCCAAAUAAUUCAUCUCAGGAAACUGGGGUUAUUGUGGCUGGUAAAAUGGGAAUAAUAGUAUCUCACUUAUAGGGUUCUUAGGAAUAUUACAGGUAAUGAAGAACUUAGAAAAGUGAUUGGUCCUUGAAUGUCAUCAACAGAUGCAAGAAAUUAAAGUGUGGGUUUUAAAUAAAAAAGUUGCAUUGUAAUUCUAGUAGUUUCUAGGUAAAUUCUGCUAUGAGAGUAUGUAAUUUAGCAAUAUCUCAUCUGGUAAAAUAUGCUAGGCUGAAGGUUAUAAAAGAGAAGCCAAGGGCUUUAUGAAAAUUUAUAUAGACUAAAUGCAUCUAUUUAGUCUAUAUAAAUUUAGUCCAUAAAAAUAGAUGUUCCUUUUAAAUCCAUCUAUUUUUCUGAACCCCAUAUUGAGGUACAGAGAAACUGCAACAUCCAAACUCAUGACUUCCCAGUGGUGGCAGUGGAAUAUUAUUAUACUAUCAGUUCUAGAAAUUGUAACUUACUUCUAGGAUUGUAAUUUGGAGAGUGAACAGCUGCUAACCUUGUUGAUCAACUGCUGUUGAGGGCUGAAAGUGACCAUGGAGAAGAGGAGAAAUAGCUUUUCUUAAAGGCUCAAAAAAUAUCGUUAACACAUGGAGACUAGCACACUUGUUAUUCCACCAGAUUUCUUCACACCUGCAUGCAUAUAACACAUCAUUUUAAAAAUUCGCUAACAACAUUUGAAAUUGGAUUCAUUUUAACUUGGAAAAAAAUACCAAGAAAACUGCUAGUUACCAGUGGCCAAAAAGGAAGACUCUUCCAUACAAGGAACAAUUUCUGGAGUUCUGUGCAAAGCUAAUUUUGUUCUUCUUCUUCUUUUAUUUAUAUUACAGAUAUUUUACAAGUUCCAUAAGACUCCAUCCCACACAAGACAGUGAAUCUAAGUGUCACAGAAGACUGAAUUUCCUCAGUAUUUCACAGUUACCAAAACACCUGUGCUAAAUAGUUUUCUGUGUAUCAGCUGUGAAAACUCACUGUUCAAUAGCCCUCCAAAUUUCUCAUUUAUUCCUGGUGGGGGGGAGUCCUGGGGGGGCUCACAAUGCGUUAUUGUUAAACUCUAGGAAGGGUAGUGGUUCAAGAGCAUCAUUAAUGGAGUAAAAAGGAAAAAAGUACCAGCAAAUUUCACCUAUACUCCUUAUAGACCUUCGCUUCUACCUCUUCUGAGAUGCUGCCUUAUCUGCAAAUUAAUUAAGCAGAAACUAGAUGGGCACAAAUACCACAACAUUCUGAAGCUUAAUUAGCAAAUGCUUUUUAACUUCACAACAGGUCUUAGCCUUGUUGGUUACUUUGUUUCUUAAAAGAGCAGAAAAGCAAGCUGUAUUAUUCUUUGCUUCCUUUCAGAGAGGAAACAAGCAUGGAAAUUUAAAAAUAGAUCAAGGGAUGCUCAGAGGGCAGCUCCCUAGCAACCAGGCUGCAUUGCUGGUAUGCUAACUUGAGUGGCCUGCAUUCUGCCAGGAAUGUCGGCAAGCCACUCCCACCGAUAGCAAAGACAAGACAUGGAGGGAACUGGUCGGAUACAGCCAUGGAGGGGACACAGACAGGUGACUGCAAGAGCCACAGAUUCUCACCCAGCCCCUUCAGUCCCACCCAUGGGAAGGCCAGUAACUGUGUUCAGCAGUUUUCUCAAUUGCAACCCCCCAGUGAGGCCGUUAGCCCAUCCCCUGGGGCAAUAACACAGGAUGAAGGUAGGGAGAACUCUUGGUCAUCAUCAAAGACCCUUGAAGAGAGAAAUUAUUUCCAAAAUGUUUGCUGUCUGAUAGUUAAAAAUCGUGGCUCUGUCUUUCCCUUAUUAAAUAACACAGGAGAAAAAUGAAAAGAUGGAAUGUUUAUUGAUAGUCUUUGUGCCUGGUGCCAUGGAGCUUGUUUUUGAGGCUCUGAUGAUAAGAAAAGAAAAAAAAUAAUAAUCCUGCGUGUCAUAUAGCUGCAAAGUACAGGCACCCUGGUGUACACUGUGAAAAUAUCAUAGAAAAAAUAUGACAUCAUAUUGUCUGCCUACGAUGAUACAAUUUCUUAUUAAAAUAAAAAGAGGAAAGUGUGGAGACUAACAAUGCAUUUCCUUUUUUCACUCAGACUUCACACAGGGAAAGUUACCUGGAUGUUCAAGAUGUUAAAACAUGGCCUUGUGUCAAAAGUGAAAUAAUUAAAUAUUCAGUAUCAGCCCAUUAACCAGAUGGGCUCUCC